AGGUGCGAUCAUACCAGCACUAAUGCACCGGAUCCCAUCAGAACUCCGCAGUUAAGCGUGCUUGGGCGAGAGUAGUACUAGGAUGGGUGACCUCCUGGGAAGUCCUUGUUUUGCACCUC
Molecule: ribosomal RNA, 119 nt
Filed under: Medicago truncatula (barrel medic)
Lineage: Eukaryota; Viridiplantae; Streptophyta; Magnoliopsida; Fabales; Fabaceae
Source: RNAcentral